GGUGCGGGGGGGGGGGAGGAGAACAAAAUAAGAUUCAUUUUAGACUUGUUGCCAUAGGGGAAGCCCCCUUAGAGAGUUGGAAAUAAUGGAUCCAAUGCUCUGGAGACAGGUUAGAGCCAAAGCCAAGAGGUAGGCAUCACUGAUGGCCAGGAAUUAAAUAGAGUGACAGGAAUGGGUGAGAUCACGUAAGCAUAACAUCCAGUGAAGAGAAAUGGCUUCUCUACUUUGCUUCAUUCUGGUUUGGCCCCGUGGGCCCUGACCAUCUCAAUUUGAUAUUUUACUGAUUUAACAAACAUUAUAUUGGGCUCACUAGCCACCUGUCCACAGGUUCAUGAGGAUAAAUAAAAAUCUUGGUUUAGAUCCAGGUUAGUAUAAAUUUUCCCAGCUCAGCUGGUUGGUCUGUCUUGGGCCUCAUGAAGCAGAUUUUAAAACCAAACUAUCUAAAGGACUUCAUUUUUCAGCCCUCCCAUGUAAAGGACUAUCUUGUGGUCCUAACCUCAAGGACAGUAUUUGCAUCCGGUUUACUGUAAUUCUGUCCUGGGCCCAGAAUAGGGACUAAGUGACAUCUUAGGACUAGAAAGGGUACUGGAGAACACCCGUUGUCGGGAGAUGGUUAUUGAGUAUCUGCUGUGAGCCAGGUUCUUGCUAGGGUGGAGGAGGACGAAGCCCCAGGCCAGUGGAGGAGACACUUGCAUGUUGCACCUUCCCUCACACCUCCAGAAUCUGCUAGUUUUGCAUAGCUCUGCUACCAUUCUACAUCUGUCAGAGCCGAUUGUAAUGUCUAGGAAAGGAAAGGGAACUCACCCUAAGCGACAGUUCCAUCAAACACCUGUAGCUGUGGAUGCCAGAAGUUUCCUCACCUUAAUUUCACAUUUAAAUAUUACAGUAGCAUGUUGGACAGGUAAGUAAAAAACACAGGUUGUGCUCGAUUGGUUUUGGAUCAAUCAUUGUUUCUGUAAUAUGAAACUGAAGUCUUUGGGUACCUAUAAUAGACAUCCAGAGCAAGGUGCCUAAAGCACCAGAAAAUAUCAUAAUUUAAACUAUGUAUUUGUUAAAAUCAAACAAUUUGAAUACCUUACUUUUUUCAGUGCUUACUCUCAUGUCAUACACAUCUCAACACCUAUUUGUUUCACUAGCUGUUGUGCCUGAGAAGAUCAAACUAUUAAGUGCCCACUAGUGUGUAAAGCACUAAGGAAGAGAGAGCAGAAUGUAGCUCCCACUCCUUAAAGGCGUAUCUUCUAGUUGGGAAAUCAUUGCAUAUAAAAAUAGAACUAAUAAUGCAAAGGAUACUGGCAAGUUCAAGGGGUUGUAUAAGUCCUGUCAGAAAGGAGGUCAUGUGCAGUGAGCUAAGUGCUUUGGCCAGUGCCAAAUGUUUCAUUCAUUCAAUAGCAGCGUAAAAAGUAUCACAACCAUGGUGUUAACAUUUGAGUAGGGUAUGCAGAUGAAACAUACAACAGAUACUGAUAAAGUGAUGAAGAUGACUAAAGCCAGUAAGAGUGAGGGGGUUAUUUUAUAAUUAAUGUUAUUAUUUUACAACAUACAAAAUAAAACUAUUACCACAUUGUAAAUACAAAAUAAUUAGCCAUUUACAUGCAAUAAACAUUAAUAUUGCAAGAAAAACUAUUUUAAAUAUAAUAUUAAUGCGAUAAAUGUUAAUAUUUCAAGAAAAAAAUUUAAUAUUACCAAAACUGUACUAACAUAAUAUCACAAGUUGUAGGAAAUAUUAAAAACCUGCAAAUAACAGGAUUACUUCUAUUUUAAAAUAUUUUUUUCCUCUGGCUCUAUUUUUCUUCAUCAGUUUAUGUUGUUCAUUAUAUUUCACUUAGCAUAAUGCUCUCCAGGUCCAUCCAUGCUGUUGCAAAUGGUAAGAGUUCCUUCUUUUUUACAGCAGCAUAGUAUUCCAUUGUGUAGAUGUACCACAGUUUUUUAAUUCACUCAUCUGCUGAUGGGCGCUUAGGCUGUUUCCAAAUCUUAGCUAUUGUAAAUUGUGCUGCUAUGAACAUAGGGAUGCAUAUAUCCUUUCUGACUAGUGUUUCUGUUUUCGUAGGAUAUAUUCCUAGAAGUGGGAUUACUGGGUCAAAUGGGAGUUCCAUUUUUGAUUUUUUGAGGAAACUCCAUACUGUUUUCCACAGUGGCUGCACCAGUCUGCAUUCCCACCAGCAGUGCAAGAGGGUUCCUUUUUCUCCACAUCCUCUCCAGCACUUGUCAUUUGUUGAUGAUACCAUUCUGACAGGUGUGGGAUGGUACCUCAUUGUUGUUUUGAUUUGCAUCGCUUGGAUGAUUAGUGACUUUGAGCAUGUUUUCAUAUGUCUCUUGACCUUCUGUAUGUCCUCUUUCAAAGGCUUUCUGUAGGUCCUUUGCCCACUUUUUGAUUGGAUUGUUUAUCUUCCUUUUGUUAAGUUGUAUGAGUUCUCUGUAAAGGUUGGAGAUUAAACUCUUAUUGGAGAUAACAUUAGCAAAUAUGUUCUCCCAUGCAGUGGGCUUGUUUUGUCGAUGGAUUUUUUUGCUGUGCAGACACUUUUCAUUGUGUUGUAGUCCCAUUUGUUUAUUUUCUCCUUAGUUUCCAUUGCUGUAGGAGCUGUGUCAGUAAAGAUAUUGCUCCAACACAUGUCUGACAUUUUGCUGCCUAUGGAUUCUUCUAAGUUUUUAUGGUUUCCUGUCAUAUGUCCUUUAUCCAUUUUGAGUUUGUUUUUGUGUAUGGUGUAAGUUGGUGGUCUAGUUUCAUUUUUUUUUUGCAUGUAUCUGUCCAAUUUUUCCAACAUGCGGGGUUAUUUUAGAUGAGUAGGGUCAACAUCUGUCAGGUAUUUCAAGUGCAGAUCAAUUACUGGCUUUCCUCGGAAGAUUGGAAGAUCUGGCAAGGUUAGGUCUGAAUUUCUGUAUUCAGUUGGAGCUGAGUCACUAUUGCCAUUCAGAGAGUUUUGGCCCUCUCCACUUCCCCAUGUUCCCCAACUCUUCCUUAUCUUACACCCCCCUCUCUUUACUCGUGUGUUACUACAUUCUAGGCUUCUAAAGGAAUUUGAGUUGUGACCUCUGCUUUAGAAGAAAACACCACAGGUUGGCUUAGGCUACAUUUUCUUCCUUCAAUUAAUCGGUCAAUCUCCCAUAUCCCUAUAAACUCAGAUGUGCUUUUAAUCUACUUUAAAAAUAAUCAUAGAUUCUAUAAACAUAGUGGAUUAAUCAUAUAUGUUAGGUGGCCUCUUUCAAAGCCUUACUAAAGAGGAAAGGAAGAAAGGAUGCAUAAAUCCAGGAAGACAAUCUGCAAGAGAACAGUGGAAGAGACAUCAGUGGAUGAGAGGAUGUGAGAAUUUGGAAGAUGGAAAGUACUGAAGGACCAAAGGGAGACAGUAAACCAAACCAAAGGCCACAUGGGAUCCAAGAAACGGAUGGAAUGACACAGAGAGAAGAAGCUUUCCAGGAGGAUGAGGGCAGGUUGGAAGCGGCUAAGACAAACACGAGAUCUUCCGAGCGAGCCAGCCCAUCCAUCUGCACCAGCAGCUCUGUCUUCAUCCGAAGGCUUCCUUCGUGCUCUCCCCUAGAGAGAGAAAGGAGG
Long non-coding RNA from Myotis daubentonii (Daubenton's bat), 3550 nucleotides. RefSeq lists it as uncharacterized. NCBI's taxonomy places the organism in Eukaryota, Metazoa, Chordata, Mammalia, Chiroptera, Vespertilionidae. The record is from RefSeq and is a predicted model, not a curated record.